AACCUGCGGAGGGAUCAUUACACAAAUAUGAAGGCGGGCUGGAACCUCUCGGGGUUACAGCCUUGCUGAAUUAUUCACCCUUGUCUUUUGCGUACUUCUUGUUUCCUUGGUGGGUUCGCCCACCACUAGGACAAACAUAAACCUUUUGUAAUUGCAAUCAGCGUCAGUAACAAAUUAAUAAUUACAACUUUCAACAACGGAUCUCUUGGUUCUGGCAUCGAUGAAGAACGCAGCGAAAUGCGAUAAGUAGUGUGAAUUGCAGAAUUCAGUGAAUCAUCGAAUCUUUGAACGCACAUUGCGCCCUUUGGUAUUCCAAAGGGCAUGCCUGUUCGAGCGUCAUUUGUACCCUCAAGCUUUGCUUGGUGUUGGGCGUCUUGUCUCUAGCUUUGCUGGAGACUCGCCUUAAAGUAAUUGGCAGCCGGCCUACUGGUUUCGGAGCGCAGCACAAGUCGCACUCUCUAUCAGCAAAGGUCUAGCAUCCAUUAAGCCUUUUUUUCAACUUUUGACCUCGGAUCAGGUAGGGAUACCCGCUGAACUUAAGCAUAUCAAUAAGCGGAGGAA
Molecule: ribosomal RNA, 561 nt
Filed under: Alternaria alternata
Lineage: Eukaryota; Fungi; Ascomycota; Dothideomycetes; Pleosporales; Pleosporaceae
Description: eukaryotic LSU rRNA
Rfam family: 5.8S ribosomal RNA (bases 186-339)
Source: RNAcentral